This is a small nuclear RNA of Prolemur simus (greater bamboo lemur), 107 nucleotides long. NCBI's taxonomy places the organism in Eukaryota, Metazoa, Chordata, Mammalia, Primates, Lemuridae. The record is from Ensembl.
GUGCCCACUUCGGCAGCACGUAUACUAAAAUUUGAGAUGAUACAAAGAAGAUUAGCAUGGCCCUGGGCAAGGAUGACAUGCAUUUUUGUGAGGCGUUCCGUAUUUUU